Triticum aestivum (bread wheat) is the source of this 135-nucleotide non-coding RNA. NCBI's taxonomy places the organism in Eukaryota, Viridiplantae, Streptophyta, Magnoliopsida, Poales, Poaceae. The record is from Rfam.
AAAGUACUCCCUCCGUCCCAAAAUUCUUGUCUUAGAUUUGUCUAGAUACGGAUGUAUCAAGUCACAUUUUAGUAUUAGAUACAUCCGUAUCUAGACAAAUCUAAGACAAGAAAUUUGGGACGGAGGGAGUAGUUG